CAAUCUCGCUGCUGAUAUGGGAGGCAUGGGCUUCAUACAGUCCAAUCAUUCGGUGAUCAUGUACAACAACACUAUGAUCAGUUUCAACAUGCUUGAAGCUGCAAGGAUAAAUGGAGUCAAGAGAUUCUUCUAUGCAUCUAGUGCAUGCAUCUAUCCCGAGUUCAAGCAACUGGAGACAAAUGUCAGCUUAAAAGAGUCUGAUGCAUGGCCUGCCGAGCCUCAAGAUGCUUAUGGCCUUGAGAAGCUUGCUACCGAAGAACUAUGUAAGCACUACACGAAGGAUUUUGGAAUUGAAUGCCGCAUUGGGCGUUUUCAUAAUAUCUAUGGUCCUUUUGGAACAUGGAAAGGUGGAAGGGAGAAGGCUCCUGCUGCUUUCUGUAGAAAGGCUCUAACUUCCGUUGAUAAGUUUGAAAUGUGGGGAGAU
This 424-nucleotide unclassified non-coding RNA is filed under the name Hevea brasiliensis (rubber tree). Lineage: Eukaryota; Viridiplantae; Streptophyta; Magnoliopsida; Malpighiales; Euphorbiaceae. The record is from RNAcentral.